CCUGGCAGGGGAGCCGGUCAGCUGACCGGAAGCAGGAAGUGUGGAGCGUGGGUCGGGGAGAGUCAGAGAGAGAGAGAGCGAGAGAUGCCAGCCUUGGGAGGUCGCGUGCAGACGGAGAAGGGAGGACUGGUGCUUCUCCCAGCAGCGAUGGACGGAGUGAAGGCAGCCGUGGAUCGGGCCAGAGCCGCUUUCGAUACGGGCAAGACGCGCCCUUUGGAGUUCCGGAUCCGGCAGCUGAAGGCCCUCAGGAGGAUGGUGCAAGAGAAGGAGAAGGCCAUCGCCGCGGCCCUCAAGGCGGAUCUCAACAAGAACAGCCUCAACACCUUCAGCUAUGAGAUUAUGAGCGUGCUGGGAGAGAUCGCCCUGAUGGUGGACAAGCUCCCGGAGUGGGCUGCCCCUCAGCACGUGGAGAAGACCAUCAUGACGCUGACGGACGAGACCUACAUCCACCACGAGCCGCUGGGUGUGGUGCUCAUCAUCGGCGCAUGGAACUACCCCUUCAUCCUCAUCAUGCAGCCCCUGAUCGGGGCCAUUGCAGCAGGGAACGCCGUGGUGGUGAAGCCGUCGGAGGUCAGCGAACAGACCGCCAAACUCUUUGCAGAGCUGCUGCCUCAGUACCUUGACAAGGACCUGUUUCCGGUGGUCAACGGAGGGGUCCCGGAGACGACGGAGCUUCUGAAGCAGCGGUUCGACCACAUCCUCUACACCGGCAACAGCACCGUGGGCAAGAUCGUCAUGGAGGCCGCUGCCAAGCACCUGACGCCCGUCACGCUGGAGCUGGGCGGGAAGAGCCCUUGCUACGUCGACAAGGACUGCGACCUGAACGUGGCCUGCAGGCGGAUCACGUGGGGGAAAUACAUGAACUGCGGCCAGACCUGCAUCGCCCCCGACUACGUCCUGUGCGACCCGUCCAUCCAGAACCAGAUCGUGGAGACCAUGAGGAAGACGCUGAAGGAAUUCUACGGCGAAGACGUCAAGCUGUCCCCAGACUACGAGCGGAUUGUCAACCAACGCCACUUCAAGAGAAUCGUGGGGUUGCUGGAGGGGCAGAAGGUUGCUCACGGAGGGGAAGCCGAUGAAGCCACCUGCUACAUUGCGCCGACGAUCCUCACAGAUGUCAGUCCAGAAUCGAAGAUCAUGCAGGAAGAGAUCUUUGGCCCCGUCCUUCCGAUUGUCGCUGUGAAGGGCGUGGACGAAGCCAUCCGGUUCAUCAAUCAGCGGGAGAAGCCUCUGGCCCUCUACGUCUUUGCCAACGACAACAAGAUCAUCAAGAGGAUGAUUGCUGAGACCUCCAGCGGGGGCGUGACCGCCAACGACGUCCUCAUGCAUUUCACCCUGCCGGGCUUGCCCUUUGGCGGAGUCGGAAAGAGCGGCAUGGGGUCCUACCACGGCCGGCACAGCUUUGAGACCUUCUCCCACCGGCGCUCCUGCCUCAUCCGGGCCCUCAAGAUGGAAGCCGUCAACAAGAUCCGCUACCCACCCAACAGCCAGAAGAAAGUGGACUGGGCCAAGUUCUUCGUCCUGAAGCGGUUCAGCAAGAGCAAGAUCGGGCUCGUGGCCCUCGCGGUCCUGGGCCUCUUGGUGGCUGUGGUGAUCAAGAACCGCCGGGCCAUUCUAGGGGUUAAGACCCUGCUGGCUGUGCUGGCAGCACAGAAAAUGUGGGGGCUCACUAGGACCUGAUGUGAGGUCCGUAUUCAAGGCCUGCAUUUCUCAGGCGAGGUUGCGUUUUUCUGAAUCCAGGGGUCUCACCGGCUGCCCUCAAGGGACCCUGCUAUCCUCAAGGCCUCGCUUGCCAGGGUUGGAGGUGUCGUCACUCGAAGAUGCCCGUAACAUUUUUGCCGUCCCUUGUUAACAACAAAGCACACAAACGUACAAAUGCCGCCCCUUCCGAGGGGCUGCUCCCGCCGUGGUUUUCUUCUGCUGAAAGACCCGUCAUUUUCUCUCUCCUCUCCCCACUCUGAGUCGGCUGGGCCCCUACGGCUGCGUGGCUUCUCUCUUCAUCCGGGCCCCUAUCCUGAGCUGCUUACCUCUUCGGCCACUUGCUUCCAGUUCAUCCGGAUGAUGUAGUUUAUGGUGCACACAGAAGGGAUUAAGCCACAGAGGAUCAUGCCCAGCCAAAGGCCUGAGGGAAGGAGGAGAAGCCUUGUGAAAGAAGGACCCUCUCUGCAGCUUUUUUUUUGGCUUCUAAGCACUAUCAGCGCUGGGUUUUGCAAGUUCCAGGAUGGCCCUCUGAACGUCGACAACCCUGGCUGGAAAAAGCUCUUCCGCGUUCAGCGGCUUGGUCUUGAGAAAGGCACAGGUGAGGCAUUUUACAGGCACAUCAGAGACUUUAUCGCCUGCUUAUCGGGCAGAUUGGGUGUAACGCACAGGCGCAUGAGCUAGUGAAAAAGCUGGCAACCCUAGGUGCGCUUUUUUGCUCCUUAGGGGAACAAGACCUGAAUAAUUCCUGCCCUUAUUUUCCUCAUUCAUCCCUGUUGUUUUCCUCUUGCAUCAUUAUGCCUAGAGACACUGAGGCACUUUAUAAAUAAUGAAAAAUAAGAAUAACCCAUGGGCCCACUGAGAGAGCGAGAGAGGCUUUAAGGCAGGCUGGUACAACUUCAGCCUUCCAGCUGUCGUUGGACUACAACUCCCAUCAUUCUGAGCCACCGUGGCCAAUUGUCAGGAUUCUGGGAGUUAUAGUUGGGCAUCUUGGAGAGGAGAGCUGGUCUUGUGGUGGCAAGCAUGACUUGUCCCCUUAGCUACGCAGGGUCCACCCUGGUUGUAUUUGAAUGGGAGACUGGAUGUGCGAGCACUGGAAGAGAUUCCUCUUAGGGGAUAAGGGGGCCACUCUGGGAAGAGCAUCUAGGUCCCAAGUUCCCUCCCUGGCAGCGUCUCCAAGAUCAGGCUGAGAGAGAGACUCCUGCCUGCAACCUUAGAGAAGCCGCUGCCAGUCUGUGAAGACAAUAUUGAGCUAGAUAGACCAAGGGACUGACUCAGUAUGUGGCAGUCUCCUAUGUUGCAAUGUACUUUUAAACCGCUUUCCCUGAAAGCUCUUGACAAGAAACACCAUCCACAGCGCUCUCCGAACCCUGGCUGGUACCUAACACUCCCAUUUUGGCCACGAAGACCAGUACGAUCCCCACGGGCAAGCCCACGCCAUAGUAACCGAUGGCGUUGAAAAUGGCACCAAGCUUCUGCUUCCCCGUCCCACGCAAGAUUCCGCUCGUUGUGCACUGUGGAAAGGAGAGGAAGGGGUUUGUUUUCAUUUGAUUGGUUUACUAUUCGAUUUAUAUGCCGCCUUUUAUAAAACCCAUCCCAAGGCUUAGGCGUUUAACCCACAACAAUUAUGUGAUGGGUUAAAAUACCAGCAAAGGAGCGAGAUUACCAAUUAAUUUAUGCUCUUAGCAUGAACAUAGAAGCCAUACGCCCUACUCAAAAACACGAUCGGAUUUUACUACAUUUUUACUUCUGCUAUUUCACAGCCCAAAGUCCCCCAGAAUUAAUUUUCUUAAGUACAGCCACCCCUGAGGUCUCUGACGUUAUGUCCAGGACUUAACUGGAUAUGUGGCGGACAGUUCAUUGAAAGUGUCAUCUCAGCUGUGAAAAAAGCUAAUUCCAUGCUAGGAAUCAUUAGGAGGGGGAUUGAAAAUAAAAAUGCUAAUAUUAGAAUGCCCUUAUACAAAUCUAUGGUGCGGCCACAUCCGGAGUACUGCGUACAGCUUUGGUCACCGUAUCUUAAGGAGGACAUUGUAGAACUGGGAAAGGUGCAGAAGAGGGCAGCCAAGAUGAUCAGGGGCCUGGAGCACCUUCCUUAUGAGGCAAGGCUACAGCAUCUGGAGCUCUUUAUUUUGGAAAAGAGGCAACUAAGGGGAGACAUGAACGAGGUGUAUAAAAUUAUGCAUGGAGUGGACAGGGUGGACAGAGAGAAAUUUCUCUCCUUCUCUCACAACACUAGAACCAGGGGUCACCCCAUGAAACUGAAGAUUGGGAAAUUUAGGACCGACAAGAGGAAGUCCUUUUUCACACAGCACACCAUUACUCUAAGGAACUCCUUGCCACGGGAUGUGGUGGUGGCCACUAGUUUGGAUGGCUUUAAAAGGGGCUUGGACAAAUUCAUGGAGGACAGGUCUACUAGUGGCUACAGGCCACCCCCAGCCUCAGAGGCACGAUGCCUCUCAAUCCCAGUUGCAGGGGAGCAACAGCAGCAGGAGAGAGGGCAUGCACAGACCUCUUGCCUGGGGGCUCCCCAGAGGCAUCUGGUGGGUCACGGUGUGAAACAGGAUGCUGGACUAGAUGGGCCUCCUUGGGCCUGAUCCAGCAGGGCUGUUCUUAUGACUAACAAGACAUCUCACACCUAUUUUUAGAAAUGGCUAGCUGGGGAACCGUCAGUCAGUAAGCAGUUUAUUGCUGUAACCCCAGGUCAGAACAGACUAGUUGGUGAAAACGUUUGUGGCAUUAUUCUACGUCUCAAGUUCAAAUACCAACUCCAUCGUCACACUCAUUUUGAAGCUGUGGGGCAGGAUGCAAAGUGUCUUGUACCAUGAGAGUGGACUGAAAUACCCCAAUGAGAGUGGCUCAAUAUAUUUCUUCCCCAAAGGGAAAAAAGACUGAAGCCUGCCCAGAAGCCCCACUCUUUGGCCCAGGAAUCCUUGCCCUCUGAUUUCCAUUAACUCGUCCCUGCCCAGACGAGCAGAAAGAGAGAAAAAGACCCACAAUGUCACUGGCAGAGAUACUCACACAGAGAGCUUCAAACAGAUGGAAGAUGAUGUAGAUAGGCAUCACCCAUGCCACAAGCUCAACCACUUCUCUGUUUGGGGAGAAACGGAGGCAGUUAUGCCCAAAGUGUGCCCAACGUCCUGGCAGGCUAAUCUCUCCUUGUAUAGGCAAAGUGUGCCGUCAGGUCGAUUCCGACUCCUGGCGCUCACAGAGCCCUGUGGUUUUCUUUUGGUAGAAUCCAGGAGGGGUUGACCAUUGCCUCCUCCCACAUAGGAUGAGAUGAUGCCUUUCAGCAUCUUCCUAUAUCGCUGCUGCCCAAUAUAGUACCAGCGGGGAUUUGAACCCGCAUCCUUCUGCUGGUCAGUCAAGCAUUUUCCCGCUGCGCCACUUAAGGUGACUAAUCUCUCCUUGUGCUGGACUCUAAACCUGUCCACAACCUACUCCCCACUCUGGCUGGAGCUCAGAAAGGUCUGUGCUUAAAAAGAGUCUGAAUUUAUUUCGAUUUCUGCCCAGUGUGCGUUGCCUGGUUUUUCACCCCUGCUGGCGCUUACAAAACAUUGUUACUGCUGUGCUUUUUAUUAUGAUUUCAUGACGUGCUUCUACCAUCCGACGUCCUCCUUGAAUUAAAUUGUGCUUUUCUGUG
RNA transcript from Hemicordylus capensis (graceful crag lizard), 5338 nucleotides. It is a transcript of the gene named aldehyde dehydrogenase 3 family member A2, with no coding region annotated. The transcript has 13 exons. The record is from RefSeq and is a predicted model, not a curated record. Lineage: Eukaryota; Metazoa; Chordata; Lepidosauria; Squamata; Cordylidae.